This 440-nucleotide ribosomal RNA is filed under the name uncultured bacterium. RNAcentral's name for it is "bacterial SSU rRNA". It matches the Rfam family "Bacterial small subunit ribosomal RNA", at positions 958 to 1398 of the family's 1533-position model. The record is from RNAcentral.
AACGCGAAGAACCUUACCUGGGCUCGAAAUGGAGUGGACCGCGGCAGAAACGUCGCUUCCCAGCAAUGGGCUGCUCUAUAGGUGCUGCAUGGCUGUCGUCAGCUCGUGUCGUGAGAUGUUGGGUUAAGUCCCGCAACGAGCGCAACCCUUACCUCCAGUUGCCAUCAUUCAGUUGGGCACUCUGGCGGAACCGCCUCGGAUAACGGGGAGGAAGGUGGGGAUGACGUCAAGUCCUCAUGGCCUUUAUGUCCAGGGCUACACACGUGCUACAAUGGCCGGUACAAACCGUCGCAAACCCGCGAGGGGGAGCUAAUCGGAAAAAGCCGGCCUCAGUUCGGAUCGCAGUCUGCAACUCGACUGCGUGAAGCUGGAAUCGCUAGUAAUCGCGGAUCAGAAUGCCGCGGUGAAUACGUUCCCGGGCCUUGUACACACCGCUCGUC